UAGUCAUAUGCUUGUCUCAAAGAUUAAGCCAUGCAUGUCUAAGUAUAAACACUUUAUACCGUGAAACUGCGAAUGGCUCAUUAAAUCAGUUAUAGUUUAUUUGAUAGUACCUUACUACUUGGAUAACCGUGGUAAUUCUAGAGCUAAUACAUGCUAAAAAUCUCGACUUCUGGAAGAGAUGUAUUUAUUAGAUUAAAAACCAACCCCCUCGGGGUUUUUUGGUGAUUCAUGAUAACUUUUCGAAUCGUAUGGGCUUUGUUCCGACGAUGGUUCAUUC
Molecule: ribosomal RNA, 277 nt
Filed under: uncultured eukaryote
Lineage: Eukaryota
Description: partial 18S ribosomal RNA
Rfam family: Eukaryotic small subunit ribosomal RNA
Source: RNAcentral